AGUCCUACGGGGCGCAGCAGUGAGGAAUAUUGGUCAAUGGGCGAGAGCCUGAACCAGCCAAGUCGCGUGAGGGAAGACGGCCCGACGGGUUGUAAACUUCUUUUGUCAGGGAGCAAGAACGGAUACGUGUAUCCGAGCGAGAGUACCUGAAGAAAAAGCAUCGGCUAACUCCGUGCCAGCAGCCGCGGUAAUACGGAGGAUGCGAGCGUUAUCCGGAUUUAUUGGGUUUAAAGGGUGCGUAGGCGGACUACCAAGUCAGCGGUACAAUUGCGGGGCUCAACCCCGUC
RNAcentral lists this ribosomal RNA (287 nucleotides) under uncultured bacterium. RNAcentral's name for it is "partial 16S ribosomal RNA". It matches the Rfam family "Bacterial small subunit ribosomal RNA", at positions 335 to 619 of the family's 1533-position model. The record is from RNAcentral.